RNAcentral lists this ribosomal RNA (116 nucleotides) under Badamia exclamationis (brown awl). RNAcentral describes it as "partial 16S ribosomal RNA". The record is from RNAcentral. Lineage: Eukaryota; Metazoa; Arthropoda; Insecta; Lepidoptera; Hesperiidae.
AAGAUUUUAAUGAUCGAACAGAUCAAAAUUUUAAACUUCUGCAUUUAAAUUUUAUCUUAAUCCAACAUCGAGGUCGCAAACUUUUUUUUUUAUUUGAACUAAAAAAAAAAAUUACG